Molecule: ribosomal RNA, 912 nt
Filed under: Heterorhabditis bacteriophora
Lineage: Eukaryota; Metazoa; Nematoda; Chromadorea; Rhabditida; Heterorhabditidae
Description: partial small subunit ribosomal RNA
Rfam family: Eukaryotic large subunit ribosomal RNA
Source: RNAcentral
CCCGUGAAUUGUGUUGUAGUUGUUUGUACAUGGGACGUAGUGGAACACUUUAACCUGAAGGUGUGACUGUCCUGCUAUAUUGCAUUUCCGAAGUCUCUUUGAUAGGGGCCAACAUCCAGAGAGGGUGCGAGACCUGUACGGAAAGUAGUAUAGUUGGUAUGGUUACUCCUUGGAGUCGGGUUGCUUGAAAGUGCAGCCUAAAGUUGGUGAUAAACUUCAUCUAAGGCUAAAUAUCGACGCGAAAUCGAUAGCAAACAAGUACCGUGAGGGAAAGUUGCAAAGAACUUUGAAGAGAGAGUUCAAGAGAACGUGAAAUCGCUGAAGUGGAACCGGAGAGAGUUAACAUAACUUGGUAGCUAUAUCCUCUAAAGUCGCUUAACUGUGGCUCUGGGGGGUGGACGCUACCUGUUGUUGCACUGACUGCGUUGAUUGUGCUUUCCGAACAGUAUAGUGUUGCCCACUUUGUGGUGUCUUGCUUUCUGGGAGGUUUGUCAUAAUUAACGUAAAGCCAAUUCCCUUUGGAGUCAGUGUGAAAGUUAACCACCUUUCCGACCCGUCUUGAAACACGGACCGAGGAGUGUAAUUUAUACGCGAGUCAAGGGGUGGUGAAAACCCUAGGGGCGGAAUGAAAGUAAAGGCCGGUUAACCGGUUGACAUGGGAUCCGCUCUUCGGAGCGGCGCACCAUGGCCCUGUCUUGUCUGCUUGCAGAUGGGCAGCGGUAGAGCGUAUAGUUUGCGACCCGAAAGAUGGUGAACUAUGCUUGAGCAGGACGAAGCCAGAGGAAACUCUGGUGGAAGUCCGUAUCGGUUCUGACGUGCAAAUCGAUCGAUAGACUUGGGUAUAGGGGCGAAAGACUAAUCGAACCGUCUAGUAGCUGGUUCCCUCCGAAGUUUCUCAGGGAUAGCUGGAUU